Molecule: ribosomal RNA, 460 nt
Filed under: uncultured bacterium
Lineage: Bacteria
Description: partial 16S ribosomal RNA
Rfam family: Bacterial small subunit ribosomal RNA
Source: RNAcentral
CCUACGGGAGGCAGCAGUGAGGAAUAUUGGUCAAUGGACGAGAGUCUGAACCAGCCAAGUAGCGUGAAGGAUGACUGCCCUAUGGGUUGUAAACUUCUUUUAUAAAGGAAUAAAACGAGGCACGUGUGCCUUUUUGCAUGUACUUUAUGCAUAAGGAUCGGCUAACUCCGUGACAGCAGCCGCGGUAAUACGGAGGCGCCGAGCGUUAUCCGGAGUUAGUGGGUUUAAAGGGAGCGUAGAUGGGUAUUUAAGUCAGUGGUGAAAGUGUGCGGCUCAACCGUAAAAUUGCAAGUGAUACUGGCAGUCUUGAGUGCAGUUGAGGGAGGCGGAAUUCGUGGUGUAGCGGUGAAAUGCGUAGAUAUCACGAAGAACCCCGAUUGCGAAGGCAGCUUACUAAACUGUGACUGACAUUGAGGCACGAAAGUGUGGGGAGCAAACAGGAUUAGAUACCCCAGUAGUC